GAUGAACGCUGGCGGCGUGCCUAAUACAUGCAAGUCGAGCGAACAGAUGAGGAGCUUGCUCCUCUGACGUUAGCGGCGGACGGGUGAGUAACACGUGGAUAACCUACCUAUAAGACUGGGAUAACUUCGGGAAACCGGAGCUAAUACCGGAUAAUAUAUUGAACCGCAUGGUUCAAUAGUGAAAGACGGUUUUGCUGUCACUUAUAGAUGGAUCCGCGCCGCAUUAGCUAGUUGGUAAGGUAACGGCUUACCAAGGCGACGAUGCGUAGCCGACCUGAGAGGGUGAUCGGCCACGCUGGAACUGAGACACGGUCCAGACUCCUACGGGAGGCAGCAGUAGGGAAUCUUCCGCAAUGGGCGAAAGCCUGACGGAGCAACGCCGCGUGAGUGAUGAAGGUCUUCGGAUCGUAAAACUCUGUUAUUAGGGAAGAACAAAUGUGUAAGUAACUAUGCACGUCUUGACGGUACCUAAUCAGAAAGCCACGGCUAACUACGUG
Molecule: ribosomal RNA, 497 nt
Filed under: uncultured bacterium
Lineage: Bacteria
Description: partial 16S ribosomal RNA
Rfam family: Bacterial small subunit ribosomal RNA
Source: RNAcentral